AGUGAACGCUGGCGGUAGGCCUAACACAUGCAAGUCGAACGGCAGCACAGUAAGAGCUUGCUCUUACGGGUGGCGAGUGGCGGACGGGUGAGGAAUACAUCGGAAUCUACUUUUUCGUGGGGGAUAACGUAGGGAAACUUACGCUAAUACCGCAUACGACCUACGGGUGAAAGCAGGGGAUCUUCGGACUUUGCGCGAUUGAAUGAGCCGAUGUCGGAUUAGCUAGUUGGCGGGGUAAAGGCCCACCAAGGCGACGAUCCGUAGCUGGUCUGAGAGGAUGAUCAGCCACACUGGAACUGAGACACGGUCCAGACUCCUAUGGGAGGCAGCAGUGGGGAAUAUUGGACAAUGGGCGCAAGCCUGAUCCAGCCAUACCGCGUGGGUGAAGAAGGCCUUCGGGUUGUAAAGCCCUUUUGUUGGGAAAGAAAAGCAGCAGGUUAAUACCCCGCUGUUCUGACGGUACCCAAAGAAUAAGCACCGGCUAACUUCGUG
Molecule: ribosomal RNA, 492 nt
Filed under: uncultured bacterium
Lineage: Bacteria
Description: partial 16S ribosomal RNA
Rfam family: Bacterial small subunit ribosomal RNA
Source: RNAcentral